GGGGGAGUACCCGAGUGGCCAAAGGGGGCAGACUGUAAAUCUGCUGGCGAUGCCUACGGAGGUUCAAAUCCUUCCUCCCCCACCA
Molecule: transfer RNA, 85 nt
Filed under: Actinomycetota bacterium
Lineage: Bacteria; Bacillati; Actinomycetota
Description: tRNA-Tyr
Rfam family: tRNA
About the family: Transfer RNA (tRNA) molecules are approximately 80 nucleotides in length.
Source: RNAcentral